CAGUAGCCACGGUAAUACGUAGGGUGCAAGCGUUAAUCGGAAUUACUGGGCGUAAAGCGUGCGCAGGCGGUUAUAUAAGACAGAUGUGAAAUCCCCGGGCUCAACCUGGGAACUGCAUUUGUGACUGUAUAGCUAGAGUACGGCAGAGGGGGAUGGAAUUCCGCGUGUAGCAGUGAAAUGCGUAGAUAUGCGGAGGAACACCGAUGGCGAAGGCAAUCCCCUGGGCCUGUACUGACGCUCAUGCACGAAAGCGUGGGGAGCAAACAGGAUUAGAUACCCCGUAGUCCCUGUCUCUUAUACC
This 301-nucleotide ribosomal RNA is filed under the name uncultured bacterium. RNAcentral's name for it is "partial 16S ribosomal RNA". It matches the Rfam family "Bacterial small subunit ribosomal RNA", at positions 509 to 808 of the family's 1533-position model. The record is from RNAcentral.